GCCACCGCAGGGACAGCCUAUACAGCAGUUGCAUCAGGGUAUGGUGUACAAUGCCACACCUUGCAAUGCAUGGGUACCUCAGAAGAAUUGAGGUUGUAGAAGGUCAAGUCUCAAGGUUGAGGAUCCGCAGCUGGAGGACUUAUCCAUUCCUUCUAUUUACUUAAAAGUAGGAUAUUAGUUUUGUUUCAGUUGAUAUUAGUACUUAUUUGGUUGAAAUUCUAAAUAGUAACUUUUGGUUAAGGGGUCCUUGCGUUACGGGAUUCCCGAGUUGUAACCAUUUGGAAGUUAUUAAUGGAUUUACUAUUAAUUGGAUUUCUUCA
Cornus florida is the source of this 320-nucleotide long non-coding RNA. RefSeq lists it as uncharacterized. The record is from RefSeq and is a predicted model, not a curated record. NCBI's taxonomy places the organism in Eukaryota, Viridiplantae, Streptophyta, Magnoliopsida, Cornales, Cornaceae. The transcript has 2 exons.